UAAAGGAGCUUCUCCUGUUAAAACCUUGUUUGGUUUUACAGCCCCCUUAGGUAAAUUUUGUCAACCCCUGAGUGGAACAAGGCUCAAGGGAGCUGUGUAAAGGGGAUGCUUCAGUAGAUGGCACUCUCCCUCUGAGUGAGGAUGAGCAAAUACCUCAACCAAGGAGGUUGCAGUGAGAGCAACUUCCUUUAUACUCUACAGAAAUUGCAGUGAAUGCAAGGAAAGCUUUGCCUAAUUGUGCAGUGAAGCACAGUUUUUCACAAACCUGGAUCUAUCAAGUCCUCACAUCAGGCUUUCCCCCUGCUUAAAUGACUAUAGUCUGGUUCUGUUCAGCCUGAAUUCCUCCUGAAACCUUAAUGCCUUGAGCCGACAUCUUGUUCAAUCAGAUAAGGAAACAUAUCUGGGUCAUGAAACUCAUCAAAAACAUUUGGUUUACGGUGCCAACCUUUACCUUUACAGCAGCUGUUGUGAAUUCAGAGGAGGUUUGAAAUCCCACAAACACCGGCUUUCAAGUAGUGGUUUCAAAUCCAAGAACAAUUCCCCGACUGAUUCAUCAAACCAGCUCAAGGGUGGAAGAUCACAAGCAAAAGAUGAAGAGCAAGUGGCCAGCCCAGCCUAAACCAUGACAGAUGGCAGAAGCAGAACCUGAUGAUCACACGGGUGCCUUAGACUUUAGAAGAUCCCUCCUGAAAGGAUCCAGAAGACGUGGUGAGAAAAUAGUCA
RNAcentral lists this long non-coding RNA (723 nucleotides) under Calidris pugnax (ruff). RNAcentral's name for it is "lncRNA (ENSCPUG00000012438.1)". The record is from RNAcentral. Lineage: Eukaryota; Metazoa; Chordata; Aves; Charadriiformes; Scolopacidae.